UUUCUCUCGCCAGGCGUCCUCGUGGAAGGUUCGUGUGUUAGAUGGGCGCCAGGGGCCGGCAGUGGGAAGCAGGGAGGGGUUUUUGGGGGCCUUUGGGAACAUGGAGUCCUAUCCUGUUCCGCCUGGGGCCUCGGUAGCGGCUUGCACGCCCCAAGAUGACGGCCGCUGCCCUAGGCUGGGCCGGCGGGCGCUUGCGCGUGUCCUGCUCCUCGUAGGCCCGGGACCGGCGGAUGGGUGUCGGGGUGACCAGGCCUGAGCUCCCUAUUUCUCCUCAGUGACAUCGUCUUUAAACCCUGCGUGGCAAUCCCUGACGCACCGCCGUGAUGCCCAGGGAAGACAGGGCGACCUGGAAGUCCAACUACUUCCUUAAGAUCAUCGUAAGUGCAGGGUGGGUCGUCUCUGCCCUUCAUGUUGCCCCAGCGCAAAUAGGGACAGUCAGCUGCUAUGUGCUGAGGGUCUGCUCAGUACCGGCUACUGAAUUAGGCCAUUUUUGGGAAAAUCCUGUUUAGUUAACAAUUUCCUGAGAUAGGUCCUUUCCGUUGCACAUAAACAGGCUCAGGGAAGUUAAGUGGCUUCUAAGAUGACAGCAUUCAUAUCCAGGUCUGUCUGGCUUCCAAAAGAGCGCGCUUUAUACUUUUUUCUUUUUUUUUUUAACGGAGUCUUGCUCUGUUGUCCAGGCUGGAGUGCAGUGGCUUGAUCUUGGCUCACUGCAACCUCCGCUUCCCAGGUUCAAGCGAUUCUCUUGCUUCAGCCUCCCGAGUAGCUGGGACUACAGGGGCGCGACACCACACCCAGCUAAUUUUUGUAUUUUUAGUAGAGACGGAUUAAUUUUUGUAUUUUCAGUAGAGACAGGGAUUCACCAUGUUGGCCAGUAUGGUCUUGAUCUCUUGACUUCAUGAUCCACCUGCCUCGGCCUCCCUAAGUGCUAGGAUUACAGGCGUGAGCCACCGCCCGGCCGCACAUUACAGUUUUACUCCAUUUUUGAGAAGGUCUAAGGCCAGGAAUGACUCAUUGUAAGGAAGCAAGUUGUUGCAUAUUUAGGACCUGUCAGCCAAGAAACUUAAGUGUCCAGUGACUUUUGGAUGGCCUUUGAGGUGGGUCUCCCUUGCCCAGAAAUGCUGACUGUACUGCGCUUAAGCAAUUAGGCAGCAUUGUAGAACAUAGCUUGUAAUACAUUUUUCCACACUUAGAAGGUUUUCAGACACAAAACCCAAAAUAAUUGUGUAACAGUCCAGAUAAACACACCUAGAUUGUUUUUACAAAUAAUAAUAUUGCUAAUAUUGCUAUAUUUGCUUAAUGUUGUGCUUUUAAUGCUGUGAAUCUAGCCCUCCUCUUGACCAACUUACUUGGAACAUUACUUUUUUAUCCUGUUAACCAUUUUAGUGAAUCAGAAACAUGCCUGGUAAUUGGGAAAAAUUAAAAACUAAGUAAAAACUUAAAGAAAAAACUUGAUUGAAUGUAGAAACCUAAUUUUCAGCAUUCAUACCCAGCUAGCCAAUCAUUCAGUUUGGCAGUGUUACAACGCAGCUCCCAAUCUCCCUCUGACUUCAGAAGCUUAGAAGAAAGGGAGUGGGAUGGAAAGAAAUUGUGGGGUUCAGUUUCUUCUGGCAUUUUUUUCCCUCUUUCUUCCUGUUAAACUUGGCUCCUCUGGCUUGUUUUUGUAGCAACUAUUGGAUGAUUAUCCGAAAUGUUUCAUCGUGGGAGCAGACAAUGUGGGCUCCAAGCAGAUGCAGCAGAUCCGCAUGUCCCUUCGCGGGAAGGCCGUGGUGCUGAUGGGCAAGAACACCAUGAUGCGCAAGGCCAUCCGAGGGCACCUGGAAAACAACCCAGCUCUGGAGAAACUGCUGCCUCAUAUCCGGGGGAAUGUGGGCUUUGUGUUCACCAAGGAGGACCUCACUGAGAUCAGGGACAUGUUGCUGGCCAAUAAGGUGCCAGCUGCUGCCCGUGCUGGUGCCAUUGCCCCAUGUGAAGUCACUGUGCCAGCCCAGAACACUGGUCUCGGGCCCGAGAAGACCUCCUUUUUCCAGGCUUUAGGUAUCACCACUAAAAUCUCCAGGGGCACCAUUGAAAUCCUGAGUGAUGUGCAGCUGAUCAAGACUGGAGACAAAGUGGGAGCCAGCGAAGCCACACUGCUGAACAUGCUCAACAUCUCCCCCUUCUCCUUUGGGCUGGUCAUCCAGCAGGUGUUCGACAAUGGCAGCAUCUACAACCCUGAAGUGCUUGAUAUCACAGAGGAAACUCUGCAUUCUCGCUUCCUGGAGGGUGUCCGCAAUGUUGCCAGUGUCUGUCUGCAGAUUGGCUACCCAACUGUUGCAUCAGUACCCCAUUCUAUCAUCAACGGGUACAAACGAGUCCUGGCCUUGUCUGUGGAGACGGAUUACACCUUCCCACUUGCUGAAAAGGUCAAGGCCUUCUUGGCUGAUCCAUCUGCCUUUGUGGCUGCUGCCCCUGUGGCUGCUGCCACCACAGCUGCUCCUGCUGCUGCUGCAGCCCCAGCUAAGGUUGAAGCCAAGGAAGAGUCGGAGGAGUCGGACGAGGAUAUGGGAUUUGGUCUCUUUGACUAAUCACCAAAAAGCAACCAACUUAGCCAGCUUUAUUUGCAAAACAAGGAAAUAAAGGCUUACUUCUUU
RNAcentral lists this small RNA (2630 nucleotides) under Pongo abelii (Sumatran orangutan). RNAcentral's name for it is "retained intron". Lineage: Eukaryota; Metazoa; Chordata; Mammalia; Primates; Hominidae. The record is from RNAcentral.